UGGGUGCCUCUGGUCUGCCGUUCACUCUGUCGAUAGUUUAGGCAGCGGCGGCGGCGGCGGCGGCGGCAACUGCGGAUGAGAGUUCACGUCCGUGGAGGCGCGGGCGAAGCUGGCGGUUCCCUCUCACCCCUCUACCUCUCUUCCCCUCGGGUCUCGUCUCUAUCUUCCGCUGUGCUCGGGGCGGGUGGCGGCGAACGUAAACACGUCUCUGCUCGGGGAAGACGUGUCCCGUCUCUCCGAGGAGGGGGAGGGGAGCGAGCGACGGCGGCUCAUGGAUGGUGUGCGCUGGCACCAACGGUGAGCGACGGCUGCUUGGCUCCCCGGAGGCGGACGACGGCUCAAUUCCGAGGAGGAGACGACGAGUGCAAGGGAGGCAAUCGGAAACAUCAAGUCGGCGACCAUGAAAGACUGUUUGUGAUAUUUCUCAAAGGUUAAGCGGCCUUUUCUGCUGUCAUUUGUAAAAAAAACUCCCUAUGAAGAGUACACGUGGCUUAGGUAACCGUGUGGUAGCCAUCAGGUGUCACCGGCUUGGGACUGAAGCGCGCAUUGAAUCUUCAAUGCUCCAUGCCCCAGUCUUUUGUGCGACUACUUGGACUUGUGCCGGUCAGUCCUAAGGGAUGCCAUUAUGAAAGAUGGGACCGGUUCGCCACUAAGUUAACAAUCAGAGGAAGAGACAUGGAGGAAUCGCAGAUGGGGAAUCGAAAACAGAUCGAAAAAAUCAACUCAAGGAAGAAGAGAGCUCGGCCUCGGAACAAUCGAAAACCUCGUCCUUAGAGCUAGCAAGGCUAUUGGCAGAAAUUAAACCAAGAGAGAACAUCAUCAAAGGCAAACAACAACCAUCAUUAGAUAAGAACUGGAAGAUAUCACAAAGAAAGUCCUUUUUGCAAACAGGAGAAGCAGAACCAAACCAGUAGAGUAAAACCUAUGGAACUGUUAUAUUUCUUAACAUAUAUAGUGGGCAUUCCAUUAAGCAAAUAAUUGGCAUAUUUGAACAUUCCCACUUCCGGAAAAUCUUUCGGUGAAACAUGAAUACAGGUACAAAAACUUUGUUUUCGGAAACCAAGUACUCUUAAGAUUUUUUCAGAAACCAGGACUCGUAUGCUAAACCCACCCAAAUGUGCUUAAAAGUUUCUUAUGCCAUGUCACCAUCAUAUAUUUUCUCAUGAAUCACUUUAUUUCUGAAGUAGAAGUAUUAUUCAUGCUCAUAAAAGAAGAGAAGAUACACUAAUGUUCCCUUUAAUAACUUGUAUUGGAUGACGAAGAACAUGCAAGUAAAAUACGUUCUGUGAUUGUUGAAUACACUCUUAUGCAGCCAAAACCUACA
Molecule: long non-coding RNA, 1324 nt
Organism: Triticum dicoccoides
Lineage: Eukaryota; Viridiplantae; Streptophyta; Magnoliopsida; Poales; Poaceae
Exons: 4
Source: RefSeq, a predicted model, not a curated record